RNAcentral lists this ribosomal RNA (253 nucleotides) under uncultured bacterium. RNAcentral describes it as "partial 16S ribosomal RNA". It matches the Rfam family "Bacterial small subunit ribosomal RNA", at positions 524 to 776 of the family's 1533-position model. The record is from RNAcentral.
UACAGAGGGUGCGAGCGUUAAUCGGAAUUACUGGGCGUAAAGCGCGUGUAGGCGGCUUUGCAAGUCGGGUGUGAAAGCCCUCAGCUCAACUGAGGAAGUGCGCCCGAAACUGCAGAGCUUGAGUACCGGAGAGGAUGGCGGAAUUCCCCAAGUAGAGGUGAAAUUCGUAGAUAUGGGGAGGAACACCGGUGGCGAAGGCGGCCAUCUGGACGGAUACUGACGCUGAGGAGCGAAAGCGUGGGGAGCGAACAGG